CGAACGGGUGAGUAAUGCGUGACCAACCUGCCCCAUGCUCCAGAAUAGCUCUUGGAAACGGGUGGUAAUGCUGGAUGCUCCAACUUGACGCAUGUCUUGUUGGGAAAGUGUUUAGUGGCAUGGGAUGGGGUCGCGUCCUAUCAGCUUGUAGGCGGGGUAAUGGCCCACCUAGGCUUCGACGGGUAGCCGGCCUGAGAGGGCGGACGGCCACAUUGGGACUGAGAUACGGCCCAGACUCCUACGGGAGACAGCAGCC
This 256-nucleotide ribosomal RNA is filed under the name uncultured Gardnerella sp. RNAcentral describes it as "partial 16S ribosomal RNA". It matches the Rfam family "Bacterial small subunit ribosomal RNA", at positions 99 to 355 of the family's 1533-position model. Lineage: Bacteria; Bacillati; Actinomycetota; Actinomycetes; Bifidobacteriales; Bifidobacteriaceae. The record is from RNAcentral.